AAUGAACGCUGGCGGCAUGCCUAACACAUGCAAGUCGAACGAGACCUCCGGGUCUUGUGGCGCACGGGUGCGUAACGCGUCGGAACCUUAACUUAUGUUUGGAAUACCUCUCCGACAGGGGUGCUAAUACCGGAUAAUGUCUUCGGCCCAAAGAUUUAUCGACUUUGGUUGGGCCCUCGUUGGAUUAGCUAGUUGGUAGGGUAAAAGCCUACUACGGCGACGAUCCAUAGCUGGGCUGUGAGGAUGGUCAGCAACACUUGGACGAGGACCCGGCCCAGACUCCUACGGGAGGCAGCAAUGGGGGAUAUUGCACAAUGGGCGAAAGCCUGAUCCAGCAAUGCCGCGUGAGUGAUGAAGGCCUUAGAGUUGUAAAGCUCUUUUACCCGGGAUGAUAAUGACAGUACCGAAAGAAUAAGCUCCGGCUAACUCCGUG
Molecule: ribosomal RNA, 433 nt
Filed under: uncultured bacterium
Lineage: Bacteria
Description: partial 16S ribosomal RNA
Rfam family: Bacterial small subunit ribosomal RNA
Source: RNAcentral